Molecule: microRNA, 17 nt
Filed under: Rattus norvegicus (Norway rat)
Lineage: Eukaryota; Metazoa; Chordata; Mammalia; Rodentia; Muridae
Description: rno-miR-449c-3p
Gene: rno-miR-449c-3p
Source: miRBase by way of RNAcentral
UAGAACUUCGUCCCAAC